This 542-nucleotide ribosomal RNA is filed under the name uncultured eukaryote. RNAcentral's name for it is "SSU rRNA". It matches the Rfam family "Eukaryotic small subunit ribosomal RNA", at positions 21 to 565 of the family's 1831-position model. The record is from RNAcentral.
UGUAGUCAUAUGCUUGUCUCAAAGAUUAAGCCAUGCAUGUCUAAGUAUAAGCAAUUAUACCGCGAAACUGCGAAUGGCUCAUUAUAUAAGUUAUCGUUUAUUUGAUAAUACUUUACUACUUGGAUAACCGUGGUAAUUCUAGAGCUAAUACAUGCUAAAAAUCCCGACUUCGGAAGGGUUGUAUUUAUUAGAUUAAAAACCAAUGCCCCUCGGGGCUCUCUGGUGAAUCAUAAUAACUAGUCGAAUCGACAGGCCUUGUGCCGGCGAUGGCUCAUUCAAAUUUCUUCCCUAUCAACUUUCGAUGUUUGGGUCUUGUCCAAACAUGGUGGCAACGGGUAACGGAGGGUUAGGGCUCGACCCCGAAGAAGGAGCCUGAGAAACGGCUACUACAUCCAAGGAAGGCAGCAGGCGCGCAAAUUACCCAAUCCCGACACGGGGAGGUAGUGACAAUAAAUACUGAUACAGGGCUCUUUUGGGUCUUGUAAUCGGAAUGAGUACAAUUUAAAUCCCUUAACGAGGAACAAUUGGAGGGCAAGUCUGGU